RNAcentral lists this ribosomal RNA (472 nucleotides) under uncultured bacterium. RNAcentral describes it as "partial 16S ribosomal RNA". It matches the Rfam family "Bacterial small subunit ribosomal RNA", at positions 28 to 507 of the family's 1533-position model. The record is from RNAcentral.
GACGAACGCUGGCGGCGUGCUUAACACAUGCAAGUCGAACGCUGAAGCUUGGUGCUUGCACUGGGUGGAUGAGUGGCGAACGGGUGAGUAAUACGUGAGUAACCUGCCCUUGACUCUGGGAUAAGCCUGGGAAACUGGGUCUAAUACUGGAUACGACAUGCCACUGCAUGGUGGUGUGUGGAAAGGGUUUUACUGGUUUUGGAUGGGCUCACGGCCUAUCAGCUUGUUGGUGGGGUAAUGGCCUACCAAGGCGACGACGGGUAGCCGGCCUGAGAGGGUGACCGGCCACACUGGGACUGAGACACGGCCCAGACUCCUACGGGAGGCAGCAGUGGGGAAUAUUGCACAAUGAGCGGAAGCCUGAUGCAGCGACGCCGCGUGAGGGAUGACGGCCUUCGGGUUGUAAACCUCUUUCAGCACGGAAGAAGCGAGAGUGACGGUACGUGCAGAAGAAGCGCCGGCUAACUACGUG